RNAcentral lists this ribosomal RNA (604 nucleotides) under Magnusiomyces ingens. Its description in RNAcentral is "LSU rRNA". It matches the Rfam family "Eukaryotic large subunit ribosomal RNA", at positions 34 to 666 of the family's 3401-position model. The record is from RNAcentral. RNAcentral also lists the same sequence under 1 other name. Lineage: Eukaryota; Fungi; Ascomycota; Dipodascomycetes; Dipodascales; Dipodascaceae.
UUGCCAUUAUCAUAAGCGGAGGAAAAGAAACCAACAGGGAUUGCCUUAGUAACGGCGAGUGAAGCGGCAAAAGCUCAAUUUGAAAUCGCGUAAGCGAGUUGUAAUUGAAGUGGUUAGACUAUGAUGUCAAGUCUCUUGGAACAGAGCGCCAAAGAGGGUGAUAGCCCCGUAAUCUUUGUCUAAUGUGCUACUUCAGAGCGAGUCGAGUUGUUUGGGAAUGCAGCUCUAAUAGGUGGUAAACUCCAUCUAAGGCUAAAUAUUGCUGGGAGACCGAUAGCGAACAAGUACAGUGAUGGAAAGAUGAAAAGCACUUUGAAAAGAGAGUGAAAUAGCGUGUGAAAUUGUUGGAGGGGAAGGCGAUGAUAGGAAUAAGAGGCUGCGGUUUGAAGUAAAUAUUCUUUGGGCCACGGUCUCCUGGGCCUAUUUUCGCACCCGUCUUGAACACGGGACCAUGGGCCAACAUAUUUUGGCGGUGGGAUAAAUCCUUAGAAUGUGGCUUGUCUUCGAGAAUGUUAUACCUAGGGAAUACCGCCACCGGGACUGAGGACUGCACUUUGUCAAGGAUGUUGGCAUAAUGGUAAAUGCCGCCCGUCUUGAAACAGCC